RNAcentral lists this ribosomal RNA (386 nucleotides) under Cirratulidae sp. 106-IOM-0331. RNAcentral describes it as "partial 16S ribosomal RNA". It matches the Rfam family "Bacterial large subunit ribosomal RNA", at positions 1998 to 2597 of the family's 2925-position model. Lineage: Eukaryota; Metazoa; Annelida; Polychaeta; Terebellida; Cirratulidae. The record is from RNAcentral.
GGACGCACGAAAGCAAAGCUGUCUCAUUAAGACCUAUAAAAAUUACCCUCUAGGCGAAAAGGCCUAGAUCACAAAAAAAGACAAGAAGACCCUGUAGAGCUUUACUCCCUCCGUGCCACUACCAAUAAUUUUAUACACCAACACACACUAUAGGAGUUUGGUUGGGGCGACAAAGGACCACCAAAAACAUCCUGACCCCUAACGACCCCUACGUCUCCUAACGAGCCACCUCCCGUGAUCAGAAAACAUAGCUACCUCAGGGAUAACAGACUAAUCCCCCUUAAGAGCCCAAAUUGACAGGGGGGCUUAGCACCUCGAUGUUGGCUUAGGACCGCCCUUCAAGCGCAGAAGCUUUUAUGGCAGGUUUGUUCACCCUUUAAUAUCCU